AGAACGAACGCUGGCGGCAUGCCUAAUACAUGCAAGUCGAACAAACACUUCGGUGUUAGUGGCGCACGGGUGCGUAACGCGUGGGAAUCUGCCCUUGGGUUCGGAAUAACUGUUGGAAACGACUGCUAAUACCGGAUGAUAUCGAAAGAUCAAAGAUUUAUCGCCCAGGGAUGAGCCCGCGUAGGAUUAGCUAGUUGGUGAGGUAAAGGCUCACCAAGGCGACGAUCCUUAGCUGGUCUGAGAGGAUGAUCAGCCACACUGGGACUGAGACACGGCCCAGACUCCGUACGGGGGCAGCAGUAGGGAAUAGUUGGACAAGUGGGCGCAAGCC
Molecule: ribosomal RNA, 331 nt
Filed under: uncultured soil bacterium
Lineage: Bacteria
Description: bacterial SSU rRNA
Rfam family: Bacterial small subunit ribosomal RNA
Source: RNAcentral